AACCCAUUAAUUGAAUUUUAGCUUUAUUUUUGCUCUAUUAAUAAGCAUCAGUAACAGUUUUGAUUUUUUAAAAGUAUAACGAUUUUGGAUGUUAUGGUAAAUUAUAACAUACAAUCCUAUUGCGGACCAAAAUCCGUUUGUCAAGAAAAAAAAAAUGAAAAAUUGUGAAAUUAUUUAUGGUGAUCUAAUCUCAGACAUUUACAUAUGUUAAGAUCUAUAGAAAAAUCUAUAGUUGUCAUGUAUAUAAUUUAUAUUAAAACGAUUUAUUUGUCAUAGACUUUUUUUAAAGAAGAUUCUUUUGAAUA
Molecule: long non-coding RNA, 305 nt
Filed under: Brassica napus (rape)
Lineage: Eukaryota; Viridiplantae; Streptophyta; Magnoliopsida; Brassicales; Brassicaceae
Description: long non-coding RNA (BNAP_LNC002719)
Source: RNAcentral